Molecule: long non-coding RNA, 469 nt
Organism: Pseudoliparis swirei
Lineage: Eukaryota; Metazoa; Chordata; Actinopteri; Perciformes; Liparidae
Exons: 4
Source: RefSeq, a predicted model, not a curated record
AGUUCCCCUGCAAGCAGCUCCUUUACCAGCUCCAGUGGGGAUAUUGAUGGGGACUCUGAUGACACCGUAAUAUUGCAGUGCAGUCCUGCCACAAGACGGAGAGCUGAAAACACCUCUCUUGCCAAAAUGAUUGAAGAUGUUCUAAAGAACAAACCUGGCGGAGAGAGGAUCAUCAAUGAGUAUGCUCGGACAAAAAGUCUUAACAGACGGCAGGCGGAGCGACAUGGUCAAGAUAUUGGUUGCAAAAAUAACAAGUGAACAUGGGACAAGUCCUUCAAGGCGUGUCAAAGAGGACCACGCAAAGGGGAUCAUCAACUUGUUCCCAUACCUGGCUGAUCCAAGGAGCAAGUUUGGUUAUGAACAUUUUUACAAUGCAGAAGAUGGGAGUGGGUAUCUGGCUUGGAGAUUGAAGUUUGUCCAAAAGGAAGCUUCUGAUGGACAAAAGAAGGCCAUGAGACUCAAGAACACA